Molecule: long non-coding RNA, 3061 nt
Filed under: Salmo salar (Atlantic salmon)
Lineage: Eukaryota; Metazoa; Chordata; Actinopteri; Salmoniformes; Salmonidae
Description: lncRNA (ENSSSAG00000121920.1)
Source: RNAcentral
CGGGGGGUUUACAAAAUGGCCACCAUGCAUGGGGCUUGCUUGUCCACGUUGUAUUGAGGGCAGUGAGAAUGUUGAGACAAAGCGUUUGGUGUGUGGAAGGGAAAGAGAAAGGGAAAGGUGGAUACCUAGUCAGUCUUACAACUGAAUGACUUCAACUGAAAUGUGUCUUCCGCAUUUAACCCAGUUAACUCUGAAUCAGAGAGGUGCGGGGUGCUGCUUUAAUCGACAUCCACGUCUUGAAGAGGCUGGGCCAGGCGCUAGUGCGUGUUUAUAGGCUGUCAUAGCAAACCAUCAGAGAAGCAUCCAGCUGCAGAUUAUGCGCGCUGUUGCCGCCUGGUCUGCAAACCGCAUAGCGCAUGCGCUGUGUUUCAGAUGGUUUUUCCAUGGGGAGUACACCGUGGAGGUGGCCAUCAACGACUACCUGGACAUCUACUGCCCCCACUACGAGGACCCGCUCCCCCUAGAGCGCAUGGAGCGCUACAUCCUCUUCAUGGUCAACUACGACGGCUACACCACCUGCGACCACCGCAUGAAGGGCUUCAAGCGCUGGGAGUGCAACCGGCCCCAGAGCCCCAACGGACCGCUCAAGUUCUCCGAGAAGUUCCAGCUCUUCACUCCCUUCUCACUGGGGUUUGAGUUCCGGCCGGGUCACGAGUACUACUACAUCUCGUCUCCACACCCUAACCUUGUUGGGAAACCCUGCUUGAAGUUGAAAGUCUAUGUCAAGCCCACAAAUGACUCAGUGUAUGAGUCCCCAGAGCCCUUCCUGACAGACGACAGCACCGGUGGCUGUUGGGUGGCCGCCCCCUGCCUCUCCCUCAUGCUGGCCAUGCUGCUCACGCUUCUCCUGUCCUCAUCAUAGCAUCUUGGGCCCGCCGGCCGUACCCCCUUUGGAACAGCCCCUACCCGACUUCCCGUCAAAUCUUCCGCCUCUGCCCCGCGCGAGGAGACAUGCCUCCUCCACACCCCAUCUCCCCACGCCUGUCCUCUCCUCCUCCCAUAUCAGUCCACUCCCCUCCACCCUCAACCCCUCGACAUGCACCAUCUGGACACUGUAAACUCAUACUGCCCCUCCCUCCCUCAGAACCCUCCAACUCCUCAGCGUAACCCUUGCUUCAUGACCUCUGGCUUCUGACCCUCGGCCUACAGCUCAAGUCCAGGUGGCAAUAAAGUGGAGUAGUCCUGGGGACCAGGAAGGAGUAGUGGAAAGACAAGAAGGAGUCCCUUAAAGACAGGAAGGAGUUCCUUAAAGUCUUUACAAAAACAGCCUCCCAGCUGCAGAGGAGCGCUGGGAUGUGCAAGAAAUGGAUGGGGUUUUGAACCGAACUGAGAACAAACUCCCCUCCUACGUGUCUGGAUGGUCGACAGUGACGUCAUCUCCACUUAAGGACCCUCUCAUUUGCAUCUUCAUCUUCGGACUGUUUGCGUUUCUCUUUGAGGCUUUGUGCUUUGAUUAUGCUCAAUAGUGUCCCACUUGUACAUGUUCAUUCUGUUACAGUGUAUUAUACAGUAGUAUAUUACUUUGUCACGUUGGCUCCUGCGGUGAUAGAUCAUAGGUGAACCUUCUCUUUAUCUCUCUCUCUCUCUUCUUGUGUGUCUCUGACCAGUCUCUCUCUCUCUCUCUCUCUCUCUCUCUCUCUCUCUCUCUCUCUCUCUCUCUCUCUCUCUCUCUCUUCUUGUGUGUCUCUGACCAGUCUUUCCCUCUCUCUCUUCUUGUGUCUCUGACCAGUCUCUCUCUCUCUCUCUCUCUCUCUCUCUCUCUCUCUUCUUGUGUGUCUCUGACCAGUCUCUCUCUCUCUCUCUCUCUCUCUCUCUCUCUCUCUCUCUCUCUCUCUCUCUCUCUUCUUGUGUGUCUCUGACCAGUCUCUAACAUCUUUGCAAUUUCUAGCAGUAGCGUCCCAGAGUAGAUGAGGACCUUUUCUGUAAAUCUGCCAAAGACACUUGUUUAACUUUUAUACCGGGAGAACAGGGGGGUGGGACGGCGCUGUCGUGGCUCUCCAACAAGGUCGUAAGCAGCCAUAGACCUCUGUGUAGACCCUCUAAAACAUGCCAUGGGGGUCCCAUCACAGGCAGGGCAGUGUAGAUUUUUUAAAAAGAGGAUCUUUUUGUCAUACAAAAAAAAAAGUUAUGUAAAAACAAACAAAUGAACCGUUUAAAAAAUUGCCUUUUUUCCACUGGUGCUGAAUUCAAAAUGAGUCUCUUCAUCUCAUGCUGCGGUGCUCUCUUUCUCACUACCCCCUCUUCUCUCUCUCUCUCUCUCUCUCUCUCUCUCUCUCUCUCUCUCUCUACCCCCUCUAUCUCUACCCCCUCUUCUCUCUCUCUCUACCCCCCUCUCUCUCUACCCCUCUUCUUUCUCUCUCUCUCUAUACCCCUCUUCUCUCUCUUUCUCUCUCUACCCCUCCUCUCUCUUUCUCUCUCUACCCAUCUCUCUCUCUCUACCCCUCUUCUCUCUCUCUCUAUCCCUCUUCUCUCUCUUUCUCUCUCUCUACCCCUCUCUCUCUACCCCUCUUCUCUCACACUCUCUCUCUCUACCCCUCUCUCUCUACCCCACUUCUCUUUCUCUCUCUCUACCCCUCAUCUCUCUCUUUACUGCUCUUCUCUCUCUACCCCUCUUCUCUUUCUCUCCCUCUCUCUCUCUCUCUCUCUCUCUCUACCCCUCAUCUCUCUCCCUCUCUUUCUCUCAUUCUCUCUACCCCCUUCUAUCUUACUCUCUCUCAUUCGCUCUACACUCUCUCUCUGUCUCAUUCUCUGCCCCCUCUCUCUCUCUUUCUCUCUCAUGCUCUGAAUGUGAGCUUUUCACCGUGUGACGUUUUCGCUGUACGACACAUGCCCAUUUCUAUGUCAGGUCCUCUUGUCUGAGUCCCAGUACUGAGGCUGGUGACCGCUGGGUCAUUGUGGAGACUGAGGGCCUGUCAUCUCGAGGGGAAUGGACAAUGUGACAUCCCCAUGUAUUGUGCAACACUAAGGGAGCCAGACCUCCAUGUACACUUAAAGGUGACGGAAAGGGAGCCAGACCUCCAUGUACACUUAAAGGUGACGGAAAGGGAGCCAGACCUCCAUG